UAGGGAAUCUUCGGCAAUGGACGGAAGUCUGACCGAGCAACGCCGCGUGAGUGAAGAAGGUUUUCGGAUCGUAAAGCUCUGUUGUAAGAGAAGAACGAGUGUGAGAGUGGAAAGUUCACACUGUGACGGUAUCUUACCAGAAAGGGACGGCUAACUACGUGCCAGCAGCCGCGGUAAUACGUAGGUCCCGAGCGUUGUCCGGAUUUAUUGGGCGUAAAGCGAGCGCAGGCGGUUAGAUAAGUCUGAAGUUAAAGGCUGUGGCUUAACCAUAGUACGCUUUGGAAACUGUUUAACUUGAGUGCAAGAGGGGAGAGUGGAAUUCCAUGUGUAGCGGUGAAAUGCGUAGAUAUAUGGAGGAACACCGGUGGCGAAAGCGGCUCUCUGGCUUGUAACUGACGCUGAGGCUCGAAAGCGUGGGGAGCAAACAGGAUUAGAUACCCUGGUAGUCCACGCCGUAAACGAUGAGUGCUAGGUGUUAGACCCUUUCCGGGGUUUAGUGCCGUAGCUNACGCAUUAAGCACUCCGCCUGGGGAGUACGACCGCAAGGUU
RNAcentral lists this ribosomal RNA (549 nucleotides) under uncultured bacterium. Its description in RNAcentral is "bacterial SSU rRNA". It matches the Rfam family "Bacterial small subunit ribosomal RNA", at positions 355 to 895 of the family's 1533-position model. The record is from RNAcentral.